GACCGCGUAGCUCAGUUGGCAGAGCGUUGGGCUAGUAUUCCAAAGGUUGUAGGUUCGAUUCCCACUGUGGUCA
RNAcentral lists this transfer RNA (73 nucleotides) under Paramuricea clavata. It matches the Rfam family "tRNA". From Rfam's summary of the family: Transfer RNA (tRNA) molecules are approximately 80 nucleotides in length. Their secondary structure includes four short double-helical elements and three loops (D, anti-codon, and T loops). Lineage: Eukaryota; Metazoa; Cnidaria; Anthozoa; Malacalcyonacea; Plexauridae. The record is from Rfam by way of RNAcentral.